CAGUCGCCACGGGAAUACAGAGGGUGCAAGCGUUAAUCGGAAUUACUGGGCGUAAAGCGCGCGUAGGUGGUUCGCCAAGUUGGAUGUGAAAUCCCCGGGCUCAACCUGGGAACUGCACCCAAAACUGGCGAGCUAGAGUAUGGUAGAGGGUGGUGGAAUUUCCUGUGUAGCGGUGAAAUGCGUAGAUAUAGGAAGGAACAUCAGUGGCGAAGGCGACCACCUGGACUGAUACUGACACUGAGGUGCGAAAGCGUGGGGAGCAAACAGGAUUAGAUACCCGCGUAGUCCCUGUCUCUUAUAC
This 301-nucleotide ribosomal RNA is filed under the name uncultured bacterium. Its description in RNAcentral is "partial 16S ribosomal RNA". It matches the Rfam family "Bacterial small subunit ribosomal RNA", at positions 509 to 807 of the family's 1533-position model. The record is from RNAcentral.